This is a long non-coding RNA of Catharus ustulatus (Swainson's thrush), 1728 nucleotides long. RefSeq lists it as uncharacterized. The transcript has 4 exons. NCBI's taxonomy places the organism in Eukaryota, Metazoa, Chordata, Aves, Passeriformes, Turdidae. The record is from RefSeq and is a predicted model, not a curated record.
UAUAAAAUCAGGAAUUUUUUGGGGUUUUUUUUCUGUGUUUUUACCCCAAAAAAAUCCCAAGAAUUCCAAAAUUUGGAUCAUUUUUUGGAGGCGUUUUUUUCCCCCUUUUUUUUUGGGGAAAGUUUUUGCCAGCUGGAUUUGAAAUGAGGACCCCAAAAUUUGUCACCUGGGUGUCCCAGGACCCCAAAAUUUGUCACCUGGAUGUGCCAGGACCCCAAAAUUUGUCACCCAGGUGUUCCAGGACCCCAAAUUUUCUCAUUCAGGUGUCCCAGGACCUCAAAAUUUGUCACCUAGGUGUGCCAGGACCCCAAAAUUUGUCACCUCAGUGUCCCAGGACCCCCAAAUUUGUCACCUGAGUAUUCCAGGACCCCCAAAAUUUGUCACCCAGGUGUCCCAAGACCCCCAAAUUUUCUCAUUCAGGUGUCCCAGGACCUCAAAAUUUGUCACCCAGGUGUCCAAAGACCCCAAAAUUUGUCACCCAGGACCCCAAAUUUGUCACCUGGGUGUCCCAAGACCCCAAAUUUGUCACCCAGGUGUGUUGGGGAGGGGUCUCACCUCCUUCAAGGGGUCCUCAGGUGUUCCCAAAAUUGCUCCCCAUUAUUUUGGGGUCACCCCCUCAAUGUCCAGCAGGGAUUCAGAUGUCCAGGGGUCACUCCUGACCACUCUGGGGUCACUCUGAGGUCAUUCCCCACCACCUUGGGGUCACUUUGAGGUCAUUCCUGACCAUUUUGGGGUCACUUUGGGGUCACCCCCUCGAUGUCCAGCACCCCAAGCACUGUCCAAGUGGUCAUUCUUCACUUUGGGGUCACUCCAGAUCACUCUGAGGUCACUCUGAGGUCACUCCAACCUCACCCCUCAAUGUCCAGCACAGAUUGAGAUGGCCAGGGGUCACUCCAGACCACUCUGAGGUCACCUUGGGGUCACUUUGUGUCACUUUGAGGUCACUCCAGAGCACUUUGAGGUCACUUUGGGGUCACUCUGACCUCACCCCUCAAUGUCCAGCAGAGAUCCUCAUGUCCAGGGGUCACUCCAGACCACUCUGAGGUCACUCUGAGGUCACUCCAACCUCACCCCCUCAAUGUCCAGCACAGAUUCAGCUUUCUCUUCCAUUUUGGGGUCACUUUGUGUCACUUGAGGUCACUUUGGGGUCACUCCAACCUCACCCCUCAAUGUCCAGCACAGAUCCUCGUGUCCAGGGGUCACUCCAGAGCACUUUGAGGUCACUUUGAGGUCACUCCAGAGCACUUUGAGACCACUUCGGGGUCACCCCCUCAAUGUCCAGCACUGUCCAAGCUCUCACUCUUCUCCAUUUUGGGGUCAUUUUGGGGUCACUUUGUGUCACUCCAACCUCACCCCUCAAUGUCCAGCAGAGAUUCUCAUGUCCAGGGGUCACUCCUGACCACUCUGAGGUCACUUUGAGGUCAUUCCUCUCCAUUUUGGGGUCACUUUGUGUCACUGUGAGGUCACUCCAAAGCACUUUGAGGUCACUCUGGCCUCACCUCCUCAAUGUCCAGCACCCCAAGUACUGUCCAAGCUUUCACUCCCCUGAUUUUGGGGUCACUUUGUGUCACUCUGACCUCACCCCUCAAUGUCCAGCAGAGAUCCUCAUGUCCAGGGGUCACUCCAGAGCACUUUGAGGUCACUCUGAGGUCACUCCAACCUCACCCCUCAAUGUCCAGCAGAGAUCCUCAUGUCCAGGGGUCACUCCAGACCACUCUGGGGUCACUC